Molecule: ribosomal RNA, 373 nt
Filed under: uncultured organism
Description: partial 16S ribosomal RNA
Rfam family: Bacterial small subunit ribosomal RNA
Source: RNAcentral
GUAGGUGGCAAGCGUUGUCCGGAAUUAUUGGGCGUAAAGCGCGCGCAGGUGGUUCUUAAGUCUGAUGUGAAAGCCCCCGGCUCAACCGGGGAGGGUCAUUGGAAACUGGGGAACUUGAGUGCAGGAGAGGAAAGUGGAAUUCCACGUGUAGCGGUGAAAUGCGUAGAUAUGUGGAGGAACACCAGUGGCGAAGGCGACUUUCUGGCCUGUAACUGACACUGAGGCGCGAAAGCGUGGGGAGCAAACAGGGAUUGGAUACCCUGGUAGUCCACGCCGUAAACGAUGAGUGCUAAGUGUUGGGGGGGUUUCCCGCCCCUCAGUGCUGCAGCUAACGCAUUAAGCACUCCGCCUGGGGAGUACGGUCGCAAGACUG